This 57-nucleotide transfer RNA is filed under the name Diaphorina citri (Asian citrus psyllid). It matches the Rfam family "tRNA", at positions 8 to 63 of the family's 71-position model. From Rfam's summary of the family: Transfer RNA (tRNA) molecules are approximately 80 nucleotides in length. Lineage: Eukaryota; Metazoa; Arthropoda; Insecta; Hemiptera; Psyllidae. The record is from Rfam by way of RNAcentral.
UGGCGUAGUGGUCACUGCGCUCGCCUUACACGCGGGAGACCCGGGUUCGAUUCCCGG